GCUAAGAAAAAAGAUUCAAAGUGUUGCCUGCCCAGUGGUUUUUAAUUAUUAAAAUAAAAUUUUUUAAAUAAAAUUAAACGGCCGCAGUAUCCUGACUGUGAUAAUGUAGCAUAAUAAUUUGUCAUUUAAUUGGUGAAUAGAAUGAAUGGCUAAACGAAUAUUUAACUGUCUUAAAGAAAAAAUUUAUUAAAUUGAAAUAAUAGUAAAGAUGCUAUUUUAAAUUGUAAGACGAAAAGACCCUAUAGAGCUUAACUAUAAUCUUUUUAAUUUAAAAAGAUAGGUAGUUUAGUUGGGGCGACUGCCUUUUAAUUAAAACAAAGGUAAACAAAGUUAAUAAAUAUAAUUUAUUGUAUAAUUUAUAAAUUUAACAAUUAUUAAAGUAGGUUAUAAUGACCCAUUAUUAAUAAAAGAAAAUAAUAAUGAUCAUUAAAUAAAAGCUACCUUAGGGAUAACAGGAUAAUUUUAAUUUAGAGAUCAUAUUGAAAUUAAAGUUUGUCACCUCUAUGUUGAAUUAAGAUAUCCUAUUAAUGCAGAAGUUAAUAAGGGUAGGUCUGUUCGACCUUUAAAAUCUU
This 572-nucleotide ribosomal RNA is filed under the name Lychnagalma utricularia. RNAcentral's name for it is "partial 16S ribosomal RNA". It matches the Rfam family "Bacterial large subunit ribosomal RNA", at positions 1833 to 2597 of the family's 2925-position model. Lineage: Eukaryota; Metazoa; Cnidaria; Hydrozoa; Siphonophorae; Agalmatidae. The record is from RNAcentral.